CGCAAUGGGCGAAAGCCUGACGCAGCGACGCCGCGUGGGGAUGAAGGUUUCGGAUUGUAAACCCCUUUCAUGAGGAAAGAUAAAGUGGGUAACCACUUAGACGGUACCUCAAGAAGAAGCCACGGCUAACUUCGUGCCAGCAGCCGCGGUAAUACGAAGGUGGCAAGCGUUGUUCGGAUUUACUGGGCGUAAAGAGCACGUAGGCGGUUGGGAAAGCCUCUUGGGAAAUCUCCCGGCUUAACCGGGAAAGGUCGAGAGGAACUAUUCAGCUAGAGGGCGGGAGAGGAGCGCGGAAUUCCCAGUGUAGCGGUGAAAUGCGUAGAUACUGGGAGGAACACCAGUGGCGAAGGCGGCUACCUGGACCGGAUCUGACGCUGAUGCGCGAAAGCGUGGGUAGCAAACAGGAUUAGAUACCCUGGUAGUCCACGCUGUAAACGAUGGGUGCUCGGUGUCGCGGGUAUCGACCCCUGCGGUGCCUUAGCUAACGCGUUAAGCACCCCGCCUGGGGAGUACGGUCGCAAGGCUG
This 526-nucleotide ribosomal RNA is filed under the name uncultured bacterium. RNAcentral's name for it is "bacterial SSU rRNA". It matches the Rfam family "Bacterial small subunit ribosomal RNA", at positions 367 to 896 of the family's 1533-position model. The record is from RNAcentral.